AUCUGAAACAUUUUAUUCCAUAAACAAAUUCCACAAUGGCUUAAUUAAUUACAUGUUAAGCACCCUUCUUGAUCAAAAUGUUCAGUUUGGUCCACUAAAACCUACUGCAUUUUAUAACAACUUGCAUCGUCAGACACUAGCAUUACUGGCUUGGAUGUUGCAAGGUAGAUACUAGAAAACCAGUUUGUCUGACACACGUUGCCAACUGAACUGAAGAAUCAAAAUUUCUAUAUGCCUCGCAAUUGCAUGUAUUUUGAUUUUAAAUUAUAAUUGAAGACAAUACUCGCUCAAAUAUGUCGUGUAUAGAAUGAAAGAAAUGACAAGCAUCAUCUUGCACAAUCCAGUAUGCAGAUAUACGAACCUGAUGUAUUGGGCAAAUCAUCAUAUUCAAAAAGAGAUAGAUGUCUUGCUGGUUUAACAUCUAAUGUCAGCACUACCCUCAUUGGCUACAACUCUAAUACUAAAUGGUCCAGAUGCAUUCAAAUGCAAUUUAUGGCUACAAAAUUAGUAACCAUGUGAUGUGCAGGACCAACCUCUUAAUUCCAGGACAUGCAAGUGCAAGGUCAAACAAUACAUUAAACACCAAUCACUAAAGAUGAAGCAAACCAUACUUGCAUUUUCAGAACAUGAGCCCCGAAAAUAACAAAAACUCAAGCCAAUGAGGUUACACAUUUGCCAAUGAGAUAGAUAUAAUUGCAGUACUUCUUGCAGUUAUUUAUAUAAACAAAUCUACCAAGUGGAAACAUUGUUAAUGAGAAGAGUACACUGGCAAAAGAUUGGCUUGAAUAUACACUUCGAAAAAUGCUAGUGUUGUUCUGAAUUUUUUUUUCUGGAAGGGAGGGAAGAGCAACAACAAAACAAACACUAGACAGCACAAUCCCUGGUGUAUGCAGUUCCAAAAUUAAUUCUUUUAGCAUAGGUUGAAAUUGCUUCUUUAAAAAAAGAUCUUUCUCAAUCCUAUUAGGCAAAGCAGUUUGAAACAACCGCUUUGGUACAAUAUAUAUUCAGAGUUCAGCCAUAACAAUAGAAACAUUAUUAGUUGAACUCCACACAUAUCAAUUAUAACAAAGAUGAUCACGAAUGGAAGUUGAUGAUAUUGAUGAGACAAACUAGAAUCAUAAUAGAAAAUAAGACAAAUUAAAAAGAAAUAGAAGGGCACAUAAUUACCUCAGGAACAUUGUCAUGUACGAUAUAAUUCUAAAAAAAAUUGGAUCUCAUAUUUGUGUUUCUCAGGAUUUAUCAUUCUUAUUUAAUGAUAAGCCAACAAUAUUUAUUUUAUGAUCAGUUAAAGCUUAGUAGAAAAUAAGAAAUCUGGGCACCAGAUGAGAUUAAGAUGCUUUCUAUUCUACAUUGUUACUCUAUCAAGGUUAUGUAACACUAACACUUAUUUUUCACAAAAUGACAAGAUAUUAAGCCUAAUUUCAAAGAGAAAAAUAAGAAAGAUUUCAAUGGUUAGAUAUGUGCUUAAAAAAAGGAAAGAGGGUCAUGUGGCAAGUAAAUUCAUAUUAGCAAGCUGUGAAACUAACGAUAAGCAUAAAGUCUUACUGGAGUAUGCACUCCAAUGAAGAACCUUUUAAAGUCAGGAACACAGGAUCAUUUCAAGCGUAAAAGCCAUAUCCUUCCAAAUGGAGAUGCCCACAAAUUGAUAUCACAAAAUAACUAUAUGAAAAUCAUUCUUAAUCAAUUUCAGAAUUUCUCUACAGCCAUCGCAUGAAAGCCAGCUGUAAAUGCAAUGCAAAUGAAUAAACUGGUUGAAUAUAAAAUUGCACUAAUUAUCAGAAAACAUAGCAAGCAACUAUUACAAACACAAACCAUUUUGCCAAAAACACUAGUUAAAAAGAUUAGUUUGAGACCUUGUACACACUAGACACUAUCCAAUAUCCAGUAUAACGGAGAGAGAUGAUCAUUUAUGAACCUGUACUAUUUUAUCUAAAAAGCGAAAAAACAGUGCAUCAACAAGAAAACAAAUAGAACACAUAAUAAGCAGUCACAUUUACCCCAUAAUAGUCAAAAUGUUCAUAGAGACCCGAUCAUUGUAACAAUGAUCCGAUUCCUACCUUAAUCGUCCCAAUUUCCAGGAAGGGCAUCUUGUUCAAUCGAUAUCUAAAGGAAUUACAACUCAAACUCAUCUUCCAGCUUCAAUUGCUCUGCUGCAGCCUCCUCCUCAUCAUCAUCGAUCACAAAGUAUGGAUUAUGCGCCUCAGGCUUAAACUUAUAUCCAGUAAACACAUAAAACGCCAAUGUCGCCAGCUCUCCAGCUAGCACGCUGGUCCAUAGAUACUUAUAAGAAGUUAUAGUCUCCAAUGCGUAUACGACCACGCGGGUAAAGUAGAUAUAGCAAAUUACCACGAUGUAAUACUGCCUAAACAGAGUCAACUUCAUCAAAUUCACUGCAGCCUUCCCGUCUGUCUUGGCGGCCUCACGUAGGUUCUUAAUGGACCAAACAAUGGGGAACAAAACAGCACAGCAGCAUACAACGUCAACCAGUAAAAAAACCUGCUUCCAGGUGAUCCAGUCCUGACCGUAUGGUCCUGUUUCAUCGAUGACUACCUGAGCCAUAUUUGCCACAACCUGGAGUGGAAUCACAAUCAUCAAAACCUUCUUCUCCUUGUCCUGCAAGUAGGGCUUCAAAAAAGACCAUCCCGUUCCAAUCAGCACAAUCAAAGUAAACAGAGUGAUCCCCUUCAAAAAGCUGAAUAUAUAAAACAACACAUCCCAUCCAUGAGCACUGCCAGUCCUCUUGAUAUAAGACUUGUCCUCUGCUUCACAUAAUAAAUUCAAAGCUUUCAUAACGACCACCGCAAGCAUGAAGAAAUGGAUUCUGAAAACGGUGAGUCGUUUCUUAUACAGCACGUGAAUCCAUAACCCAGUAAGACCAAUAUAAACGAGGGAAAACAAGAAAAAAACCCUAGGGAGAAUAGUCUUGCCGGCAGAGAGGUAAUCGCGGUUACCGUUCCUUUCGAGAUUGUACAUCGCUGAGUUGACGUCCAUGGAUACCUUAAUCGAAUUCAAGCAAUUAGCAAAAACAAGAGUAUACUGAUCGGCGUCGUUUUCAACGACGAAUACAGAGAAGUUGCUCCUGCCGUUUUCGAGAUUCUUGAAUGUGAAGACAUGUUUGAUGAGAUCCGACUGUAGAGCACAAGAGAUCUCGCUGUCCUCUAUCUGCUGGACCACGUGGAGCCAGGAGUCUCGGGUGCAGAGGAAGAAUCCGACCUUGGAAAGGUCGAGAUCAGGGUUUGGGUUAGAAAGCUGAAUGUCAGAGACGUUGAGCUCGAGUUGACCCUUGUGGGCAAAUCCAAACUCGUCGAAGGGGAUAAUCGUACGGUCAUCUGAUCGGAUUUCAGAGUACCGGAUCUCAGCGAAAGAAAGAGAAAAUAGAAGAGAAGCAACGAAAGGGAAGAGAAACAAGCAAGCCAUGGAUCUGAGAGACAGAGAGAGGUAGUUCUCAGAUCUGAGAGGUUUCGUUUCUCCUUGUGCCUUGUUUGGUUAACUUUACGAAAGAAAGAAAUUAAUUAAAAAGGAAAAUGGAAGACGCUAACCGCAUAACAAUUGGAAGGUCGGAAUUCUAGCCUUGCAGGGGGAAUCGAGCAAUGACGAGGAAGGUGAGUGGCAGAUACCCAGUGUAGGAGGUAACCUAACUCUAGUCAGUUUAAUCAGCAAUACGAGGCUUUUCACCCAAACGCAAGGUUAAAUAUGACGACUUCAUUUAUGCAACAUACGGUUGACGAAGUCUGAUCGGUUAUUUGGAUUCAGCCGUCAAUGAGCAUUGCGCGUGAAACUGAAAGCCCUGUUGACACUCUCGUUCAGAGAUGAAGGGCUUGGUUGAUUUAAUUAUUA
RNAcentral lists this unclassified non-coding RNA (3837 nucleotides) under Hevea brasiliensis (rubber tree). Lineage: Eukaryota; Viridiplantae; Streptophyta; Magnoliopsida; Malpighiales; Euphorbiaceae. The record is from RNAcentral.